This 2857-nucleotide long non-coding RNA is filed under the name Mytilus galloprovincialis (Mediterranean mussel). Lineage: Eukaryota; Metazoa; Mollusca; Bivalvia; Mytilida; Mytilidae. The record is from RNAcentral.
UCUGAAGCGGCGUUAAACAUCAAACAACUUAUCAAUCAAUCAAUAUUAUUUAUCUUAGGCAUAUGCAUGGUGACAAGUAAAGAGUUUUGCAGCAAGGAUACGGACUGUAAUAUAACUAAAUGUACAGCUAACAUCACUGUACAAUGUUUGUAUGGGAGCUGUAGUUGUGUUGAAAACACUUCCAAUGGUAAGAUGAAUUGAUAAAACAAAUCACAUGUGCUUGUCAACUUGUUUGCCAUUACCCUCGUUUAUGUUUGGUUAAUUAUUUUUCUGUCACUUUUAUACGACCAUUUGACUAUAAUAAUUUUUUAAGUUUUUGUGUGUAAAUAGAGGUUCUUGGCGGUUAACGAUAUUACUGAGGAUAAAAUGCAUAUAACGCUAACCUAUGUACAUACGGCGAUGAUAAAUAUACCUGACAGUGUGUAAUGUCUCAAUUCUUCUUCGUUUUCCUGAUAUUUUUCCAGUUUCAUUCCCUUUAUAUGUGUUAUUCCAAUAAUACCGGAUAAAUUUAAUGCAAUUUCUUAUGCUCCUAAUAUUUUGAUGGUUAUUACUUGAAAAAAAACAGAAUAUAAUCCAUAUCUAUAUAAAGACAUUUUAACACGGGUUAGGGUUAGAACAACUGUUUGCCUUUGAAAAUAUUUAGAAGUUAACCAAAAAGGAGACUACAUUUUAUCAAUCAUGUCAUUUACCCUUCCGGAGCACCUGAGAUCACCCCUAGUUUUUUGGGGUUCGUGUUGUUUAUUCUUUAGUUUUCUAUGUUGUGUCGUGUGUGCUGUUGUUUGUUUGUCUUUUUCAUUUUUAGCCAUUACGUUGUCAGUUUGUUUUAGAUUUAUGAGUUUGACUGUCCCUUUGGUAUCUUUCGUCCCUCUUUUAGAUAACAUAAACAUCUUUCAUGAAGCAAAAAGGGUAUUCAGUCGAUAUACAGAGUUGCUAUGUAUGCAAUUCAAAUUAAAAUAAUCAUUUUGAGGUUGAACUAAAUUGUAUUAGAACAUUGGAAAUUAGUAGCUCCAAAAAUACCUAGCAAAAAGAAAUAUGGAACAAUGAAAAAAGUCAACGUCAUCAACCGUUUUCUAUUAAAAUGCUUGUAAAACGGUAAACUUUAUAUUCGUUUCCAACAUCAAGUUGUCUAUAUAAUUAUAUCAGCCAAAUACAAAUGCCCAAUUACACAUGUGGAGCAGGAUCUGCUUACCCUUCCGGAGCACCCGAAAUCACCCCUAGUUUUUGGUGGGGUUCGUGUUGUUUAUUCUUUAGUUUUCUAUGUUGUGUCGUGUGUGCUGUUAUUUGUAUGUCUUUUUCAUUUUAGCCAUGUCGUUGUCAGUUUGUUUUAGAUUUAUGAGUUUGACUGUCCCUUUGGUAUCUUUCGUCCCUCUUUUACAGUAAGAUUUUUUUUAUUGUGACCUGAUUUAUCAUACGAAAGCUGAAUGACUUAACCGGCACCUUUAUGCUGAGAUGCAAACGAUAUGUGGUCACUGCAAUGCCAGUCUUGUGAUAAAACCACCAAUGAAAUGUCUGCUUUAUAUUCAGACCGGAUAUUGUUUAUUACUGGUAUCAUCUGAUCUCCUUUUUGUCCCUCUUUUACAGGUUAAAGCUGUAUAAUGUGAAAUCCCAAAAUAAGUCAGACUUCGUGCAGAGUUAACCUUUACUUAUAUGUUUGCGUUACUCACUAUGUGGCUCAACGUAUAGACAAGAGUUCAAAGUCGGUAAAUUUAAGGAAUAAAUAGUGGUAAUCGAACAUUUGUUGAUUCAAUAAUUUCAAAAUGGUUUUCCCUCCUUAGUUACGCCUGGUCAACUGUGGAUUUGACGGCAACUUUUAGCCAAUGAAAAAAAUUGUUACAUACAGAUUGCAUUGGUAAAUUUACUGUUGGACGAAUGUUCUGAUGAUGUAAGAUGGAAGACGGCUAAAAAAUGUUGCAUGUGAGUUACGACAAAGCAAUACCGAAUCGGUCAACGACUUUGAGAUGUUGACCAUAAAACUGACGUAGUGUCAAUUUCAAAAUACCGUAACUCUGAUAGAGAAGUUUUUGUGUCAAUGUACAUGCUUCAUGAAGUUUGUAUCGUAUUGUAUAAACCAUGUAACUAUAUGAACAAGUCAUACGAGUGGCCAGAUGGUAUGUUACUACUAAGAUAAACAUUUUUCAUGCAUUAUUUAUUGUUAUAUGUUGAUUCAAACAUAUUGAAUAAAUUAUAACUUCCGAUAUAUAUAUAAUUUCAGUAUGUACCGGACUUUUUGAUUGUGUUUCAAACAUUUGUACCAAUGGUGGAAUAGGAACGUGUGUUCAAUCAAAGUGCAUUUGUGUACAUAACCAAGGUAGAGACUAUAAUCAUAGCCAGGAAUUCAAUGUAAAUAGCUAGAAAUUGAAAAUUGUUGUAUAAUUUCUGAUAAUGAUUCAUGUAACAUAUGCAAAAUUCAUCAUUAUUAUAGUUGCAUCAGUCUGAUCAAGUUGACGAUGCAUACCAACAUAAAAUUGCUAUGCCUCAAAAAACAACUUCUGAGCGGCCAUAAUGUUUUCUUUAAAAAGGAAAAAAAAAUGUUUCUAAACAUUGCUUCAUUAAAUUUUCGAAAAAUGAAAUAAAAGGUUAACUUAUUAUUGCCUCAAUCUUUAAUUAAACAAAAUUGUACAAUUGUAGCAUGUAGCAGUGUCAAUGAAUGCUCAACCUUAGACUGUAACACUGGGAGUGUUAAGAACUGUAUCAACUCACAGUGCCUGUGUGUAAUACAGUGACCGGAAUAUCAGAUGUUGCCAGACAACAAAUAAUAGCUGACACCCAUGUCAUUUGAACUCUAGUGGAUAGUUGUCUCAUUAGCAAACAUACCACAUCUUCUUAUCUUAUAAUCAAAAAUAAUAAAUAAAAGAUG